GUUAGCUGAAGUAAUAGCCUAUUCAAGUGGAACUACCUUAAGAGAAUGCCUUGACUGAAACCCACAAAAAAGAACUAGUUCCUUCACUGCUCUGCAGGGGGAUGGAGCAGACAGCUGGAAAACCUCAGAAGCAAAAUUAAAGAACCAGGAAUUUGUGGUGGGAUAUACAAAGUCAAGCAAUUCACAGUAAGCUUUGGGUUAGAGGAAAAGAAAAAAAAAAAAAAAAAAAAAAAAAAAAAAAAAAAAAAAAAAAGGAGAAAUGCAGGAUUUUAUAGAUGAGGUUUUGAUUAACAGUGGGACUAACCAAGCUCAAAAGAAGUUAGUCUGGAUGCAGUUCAGAAGCACCACAGUCGCACUUAGCCAACUGGUCAGAUUGAUAGGCAGCUCCAGGGAGUGAUUCAGCCCAACUAAGAUCUGAUUCACCCUCUGGAAGUGCCAAGCUUUUGAUUUAAAUCUUAGGUACAACUGACUCACUUCCCUGAAGGUGCCUUUCUCCAAAGGCUGUAGAGGACCCACAGCACAUCAGGGGCUAAAAUCCAGCUGGAAGAACUGGGUCUGGCCAUGACUGUUUCAUUGCCACCUGCCUGCCCUGAAGAGCUUAGUGAGAAGCCAUGUCACCCACGUGAUGGGACUCUGGGAAAGGAUAUGCAUAGGCGCCAAACAAGAGAAAAUGGUUCUUUUCCAUGAGAACCAGAUGGAGCCUGCGGCACACUUGUCCUCAAGAAACCAGAGCAAGGAGGGGAAGGUGCCCAGAAUCCACAUCACCUGGGACUGGAGAUUCAAAUUUUCCUCUGCCUUGUUCGUCUGUCUGGCUACAUCUAAAGUCCAGCCACAGUGCUUGCUUCCAAGAUCAGUAAAGCUGGGACAUCUCUUGUGAUCUGCUUCACAGAACAUCAGAUUCUUCCCUCUUCUGCUCACCUGGACAUAAUGCUCUUAUAGCUAGCAAAAGGAAUGAAAAUUAAGUGGAUUUAAAGAAGGAUGAGCUACACACAAGUAGACAUAACUUCAGGAGAAAAAAGGAAAAGACUAAAAGUUAUGAUGAAAACAGUACAAUGACAGUUUGCCAUCUAAGAGAAAGCAAAAGGGUAUCCAUCUGUGUCAUGGAAAUGGAAGAACUUCCCUCAGCUCCUCCUAUACCCUUCCUGGAGUACAGCUGUCUGGGCCAGGAAGAAUUUUGAUAAAGCAGCUGUCUGGUUUUGAAGUUUUGAGAGAGAUGUUUGAGAAGAUUUUGUGGGGGCCUGCCAUGACCCACUGACAUUUCCUUUGUAUCUAGAACCUUACAGGCUUAGAGGAUAUACAUCCCCCUUCUCCAAUAAAAUGAAAUAAAUGUUUAAUUAAUGUUUCA
RNAcentral lists this long non-coding RNA (1345 nucleotides) under Anas platyrhynchos platyrhynchos (common mallard). Its description in RNAcentral is "lncRNA (ENSAPLG00000021567.1)". The record is from RNAcentral. Lineage: Eukaryota; Metazoa; Chordata; Aves; Anseriformes; Anatidae.